UUGUUGCCAUUUGAAACGCGUUGAUUAUGGCUUUGCGCUGUUGGCUGCCAUCUUUAAGCGUGGUUUUGUCCCGGAUGUUGUGACCUACACAACUCUUGUUAGGGGACUCAUUUCCCAGGACAAGUUUCUCGAGGCUGAGCUUAUGUUCUCUUACCUUCUCCAGCACAAUCAGAUUCAGCCUGAUGCAGCUAUCUUUACAACCAUCAUUGACGGCCUCUGCAAAAUAGGCAACACUUCCCGAGCUAUGAGGUUGCUUAGAUACAUGGAGAAGAAAGGUUGUAUGCCGAGCCUAGUGACUUACACCACUAUUAUUGAUAGUUUGUCCAAAGACAGAUUAGUCGAUGAUGCUUUGGGUCUCCUCAUUUAUCAAAAUAUAUCAGCCGGUUUUCAUACAAAACAGGAGAUAAAGGUCAAUAACAACCUUAUCUCCAUCCUACAAGCUAGCAACUUGAUCUCCAUGAAAAUAGGGUACGGUUGAAGACUCCAAGCAGCUAUAUAUAUCAUUUGAACUUGAAGAUGAAUACAACUUAUCCACCACUCAAUUUUAUCACUUAUAUCUACGCUUAAAAUGACGAAGAUGAUGGUGAGACUGAGAAGCGCUUCCAGUGCUUGCUUCAGCUCAGACGCUAUUUUUCACAAGGGCUCUCUUGGAUUUCUGAGACACGGCACUACUGCUCUUACUACUACUAGUUCUUCUUGUCGUGUUAUUACAUUGCUUCGUUUGCAUUCACUUUGUCAAUCCUCCACUUGCCCUAACCCUAAUCACAUACCCAAUCAUCACACGGAACUUCAACAAUUACUUAACGAGAAAUGUAAGCUUGGUUUUGAUAAGCUCGACGAUGCUCUUGUUGUGUUUGACAAAAUGCUCCGUAUGAAGCCUCUUCCUACUGUCAUCCACUUUACUCAACUCUUGGCCGCCCUUGUCAAGAUGAAACAUUACUCUGCGGCUGUCUCCGUCUUUUCAGAUAUGUGCUCUUUUAGCAUUUCUGUUAAUAUAAUUACUUAUAGUAUUGUAAUCAACUGUUGUUGCCAUUUGAAACGCGUUGAUUAUGGCUUUGCGCUGUUGGCUGCCAUCUUUAAGCGUGGUUUUGUCCCGGAUGUUGUGACCUACACAACUCUUGUUAGGGGACUCAUUUCCCAGGACAAGUUUCUCGAGGCUGAGCUUAUGUUCUCUUACCUUCUCCAGCACAAUCAGAUUCAGCCUGAUGCAGCUAUCUUUACAACCAUCAUUGACGGCCUCUGCAAAAUAGGCAACACUUCCCGAGCUAUGAGGUUGCUUAGAUACAUGGAGAAGAAAGGUUGUAUGCCGAGCCUAGUGACUUACACCACUAUUAUUGAUAGUUUGUCCAAAGACAGAUUAGUCGAUGAUGCUUUGGGUCUCCUUGCUGAAAUGAGUGACAAAGGCAUUCAACCAGAUGUUGUAACCUACAGCUCUUUAAUUCAUGGCAUGUGCAACCUCAAUCGGUGGGAUGAUAUAACACAAUUGUUAAAAGAUAUGGACAGACACAAAAUUUCUCCAAAUAAGCAUACCUACAGUAUAUUGGUUGAUGCACAUGCCAGAGAUGGAAAGGUCAAAGAUGCUGAACAUUUUAUAGAGUUGAUGAUUCAAAGAGGCCAACAUCCUGAUGUAGUCACCUACAGUGCACUUAUGGAUGGAUACUGCUUGAGAGGAGAAUUGGAUAAAGCGUUUGCAGUGCUCAGUACCAUGAUAAGUAAGGGGAUUUUUCCUGACACUCAGACCUAUACCAUAUUGAUCAAUGGUUAUUGUAAGAAGAUGAAAGUAGACACAGCGAUACAUCUCUUAGAAGAAAUGACCCUGAAAGGUUUAACACCUACAGUUGAAACGUACAAUACUAUUCUGGAUGGGUUAUUUCGUGCGCGUAGGCUUAAUGAAGCACAUAAGUUUUAUAAGAAUAUGUUAAAUCAAGGUGUUAAACUGAAUAUAGUGACAUGCAGGAUCUUGUUGCAUGGACUUUGCUGCAAUGGACUUGCUGGUGAAGCAAUGUCCGUGUUUCAUGACAUGGAGUCAUGUGGCUUACUUCCUGAUAUACACAUUUAUAAUAUUCUGAUUCAUGGAUUGUUCAAGGACGGCAAGGUUGACGAGGCAAGAAACCUUCUUCAUAAUGUUCGUUUGAAGGGUUUACACCCUGAUUUCAUAUCUUACAACAUUAUGAUCCAAGGAUUCUGUCAAGAGGGGUUGCUGGAAGAAGCAUAUAAAAUACUUUUGGAAAUGGAAGAAAACAAUUGCUUGCCUAAUGAAGUUACAUACAACACUCUUAUCCGUGGAUGCUUUAAGAAUAAGAAGUAUGAUGGAGCUUGUGUACUUGUAGAUGAGAUGUUUGCUCAUGGUUUCAAAGCAGAUGGCUCUACCACCUCCAUGCUAUUUGAUUUGCUGCAAUCGAAGGAGCAGGACCCCGCACUCCUUGCUAUGAAGAAGAAGUUCAUGCCUUGACUACAUCAAGGAAAGAGUUUUGUAAGCUACAAAGUACUUCUAAAUCGUUCUAACUUUGUAAUUGUUUGCUACGAAAUUUGAAGUCAAUAGAAAUUUGAAGUAAAGCUUUUGCCCUUAUCUUCAGUGCUGUUAUAUAGAAACCUUUUUAACCCUCAUGCUUAACACUUCACCUAAACAUAAAGUCUAACAUAUCCGUGCUUGUAUUAUCCUGAGACUCUGUGAGACCAUGUAUUAAUGCUACAAUCCAACAUUAUGAAAAUUGUUGUUACUCUGAAUAUUGUUGAAAUGUGGUAUGAAAAAUUGUGAUUCUGCAACAUAUAUUUCUCAUUCCUUCACUACCUGAUCCUAGUCCCAGUAUUCAAUCCCCAUAUAUUCCUUCUUCAUCUAUACCUCAUUUGAAGCUUCAGCAGUUACUUCAUUAGGAAUAUGAGGUUUGUUUUGAUAUUAACUAUUCUUAUGUGAUUGACUUCAAUCAACUGUUAUCCGCCAUCUUUAAGACAUAACAAUACACUGUUGCUGUUUCUUUUUAGUGAUACUUGUACUUUCUCCAUUCCAGUUGAUCUAUAUACCAUUAAUACCGUCAUUAAUUAUUGUUGUCAAUUGAAUAGAGUUUAGUAUGCCUUUUCAUGAAGCGUCUUCUUUUGCCAAAUGUUGUUACCUGCACCAUUCUGUAUCGGGGGUUAUCUCCCAUGACAAACCUCCGGAGGUUGAGCACUGGUCUGAGAAGCUCAGCAUAAUCAGACUAAUUAAACCUGGUGUUGUGCAUUAUUGAAAUAUAUGAAGAUGAAAGGUUGUAUACCCAAUAUUAGUAACUUUAGGAAUUAGCAGUUUCAGUUUUAUCUUUAACUGAUAUAUAGGUUGUGUUAGGCUGGCCAUUAGCAGUUUCCGCUAUGAAAUUAGCUAUGAUCCUGAAUGCCCCUAUACUCCUGCUUCAUCUAUACCUCAUUCGCAACUUAACAGUUAAUUUAUAAGCUAUUGAACUUGAAUUAAGAGUGCUACUUGAAUCAGUUUCACUGUUUCUUAAUCGGUUCAGGGUGUUUUUCUUUUCCUUAAAAUUUUCAUAUCUAUUAUAUCUCAAACAUUUACAUAUGAAAAUCUGUCCAAAACAAAAAAACAUUUACAUGUGAAAAGCAUAUAUACAAUAAAAACCAGAAAAAAAUGAUAUUUUUAAAUUUGCAAGAGCAUCCCCAAUAAAGUAUGUGAUAUAUUGAUACUCAUCUUUUUUUUUUGUUUAACUUUCUUAUUAUUAUGUAUUAAUUUUUUCAAUUUUUUUCUCAGAUUUUUUCUUAUACAAACACGACUUAAAUAAAAAUAAUAAUAUAAUAAAAUGUGACAAUACAAAAAUAUGUGUAUUUAUACACAUAUUUAGACAUUUGAAUACAUAUUUACUCUUAUACAUUUGGAAAGAAAAGUUNGAGCACUGGUCUGAGAAGCUCAGCAUAAUCAGACUAAUUAAACCUGGUGUUGUGCAUUAUUGAAAUAUAUGAAGAUGAAAGGUUGUAUACCCAAUAUUAGUAACUUUAGGAAUUAGCAGUUUCAGUUUUAUCUUUAACUGAUAUAUAGGUUGUGUUAGGCUGGCCAUUAGCAGUUUCCGCUAUGAAAUUAGCUAUGAUCCUGAAUGCCCCUAUACUCCUGCUUCAUCUAUACCUCAUUCGCAACUUAACAGUUAAUUUAUAAGCUAUUGAACUUGAAUUAAGAGUGCUACUUGAAUCAGUUUCACUGUUUCUUAAUCGGUUCAGGGUGUUUUUCUUUUCCUUAAAAUUUUCAUAUCUAUUAUAUCUCAAACAUUUACAUAUGAAAAUCUGUCCAAAACAAAAAAACAUUUACAUGUGAAAAGCAUAUAUACAAUAAAAACCAGAAAAAAAUGAUAUUUUUAAAUUUGCAAGAGCAUCCCCAAUAAAGUAUGUGAUAUAUUGAUACUCAUCUUUUUUUUUUGUUUAACUUUCUUAUUAUUAUGUAUUAAUUUUUUCAAUUUUUUUCUCAGAUUUUUUCUUAUACAAACACGACUUAAAUAAAAAUAAUAAUAUAAUAAAAUGUGACAAUACAAAAAUAUGUGUAUUUAUACACAUAUUUAGACAUUUGAAUACAUAUUUACUCUUAUACAUUUGGAAAGAAAAGUUAUACUCCGACAAUCAUAAGAAAAUGAAAAAUUCUUUGAAAUACACAUAAUGAGGCCGUUUAGGUUAACUUAAAAGAAGUGAAUUAUUGCUUGAAGUAAAAAAGUUGAGUAGAAGUGAGAAGUAAAUAAAUAGUUAUAAGUUGUUGAAGUGUUUGCAAAAGAAAUAGAAGUUAUAAAGAGAAGUGGCAUUUUCUAUUUCCAACUUCUUUCUUACGAUUUUUUAAAAAUACUUUUUACUUUUUUACAUAAACUAGUCAAGUAAAGCAGAAGUAAGAAGUAGUUUCGGCUUCCCUCUCCCAAACUGGGGCAAUGACAACUAAGAAAUGAAGAAUUCUUCGAAAUAUACAUCGUGAUGAAUAAACAUCUUAGUCAAAUUACAGUAUCAUCUCCUGAUUAUUAAUAUUUUUAUCGUUAUCAUGAGUGUUGUCAUAUAGAAACCUCUAAAAACUAAAACCUUCAUGCUUAAGGCUUUUACUAAAUAAAUCCGGUAUUCCAAAAGAUAAAGUACAUUCAGACUUACUACAAGUUAUUUUGAGUUCUUCCAUAUAGAAACCUCCAAAAAACUAAAAACCUCAUAUUUAAGGCUUCCACCAAACAAAUCCGAUAUUCCACAAUAUGAAAUACACUGUUGCUGUUCAUUUUUACGGAAACUUGUAGUUUCUCCAUUCCAGUUGAUCUAUAUACCAUUAAUACCGUCAUUAAAUAUUGUUGUCAAUUGAAUAGAGUUUAUUAUGCUUUUUCGUGAAGCGUCUUCUUUUGCCAAAUGUUGUUACCUACACCAUUCUCUAUAGGGGGUUAUCUCCCAUGACAAACUUCUGGAGGUUGAGCACUGGUUUGAGAAGUUCAGCAUAAUCAGACUAAUUGUUAUUAAGUCUAACACAUCUGUGCUUGCAUUAUCCUGCGACUCCGCGAGAUGAAUCAAGAGAGCAGGAUUCAAGUGCUCCUUGAAUCAAUUCACUGUUUCUCGGAUCAGGGUUUUAUAUAUUAGUGGUACUUUUGUUUUCAUUGAUGCAUAUAUAAAAUGCAUCAGAUUUAACCUCUGUUUCUUUCGUCAUCUUUAAUUGAAUAUUAGUGACCUUGGUCAGAAUUAAAUAGUGUUCCAUUUUUCUAUCCCUCUGUUGUGAUAUGUGUGUUUUCUCCAUUAACGUUGAUUUGUUUAGUAUUGCAGUAAUGUCAUAAUGUGUUAAUGUGAUAUCCCUUGAAGGUUUAACACCUACUGUUGAAACUUACGGUAUUAUUUUGGAUUCAUUCUGAUUCAUGGAUUUCUCAAGGAGGGGAAAGUUGACGAGGCUAUAAACCUUUUUCAUAGUCUUCCUUUGAAGGGUUUACGCCCUACAGUGAUAUCCUACAACUUUAUGAUCAAAUAAUUGCUGGAAGAAGCAUAUAAAAUGCUUUUGGAAUUGAAAGAAAAUAAUUGCUUGCCUAAUGAAGUUACAAUACUACACUUUUAUCCGUGGCUGCUUUAAGAAUAAGAUGUAUGAUGGAGGUUAUGUGCUGAUAGAUGAGAUUUGUGCUCAUGGUUUUAAAGCAGAUGCCUCUACCACCUCCAUGCUAUUCGACUUGCUGCAUUCAAAAGAGCAGAUGCCUCUACCACCUCCAUGCCUUGAGUACAUCAAGGAGAGAGUGAAUUAUGGUACAAAAUACUUUUAAAAUGCCAGGACUUACUAAUAAUUUGUUACAAACUUUGACGUCAAUAGCAAUUGUGAUAUUGGAGUUGAUAAUAUGUAAUUUUGUUGAAUAUCAGCUUUGCAAAUGGUGUCUGGGUUGUAUUUGCAUUAUUUGACAAAAUGAAAAGAAUGAUAAAGCUUGUGUUUUUUCUUCGACCAAAUGCAGGAAGCUGGGUUCUCUGGAGAUGCAUACCACCAGUAUAUUACAUUACAAGACCUGUACGGAACAAAUUACCUGGACCCUUCUACUCUUGCUUUGCGGUGAAAAUUUUGUCAUGGGUACUGCAAUCUCAUGACGCAAACACUCUGCAGCAUUAUUAUUUACUUGCAUUACAUUGUAAGUUUGUCUUUUAUUUCUGGCAGGCUGCUAAGACUUAACUUAAUUACUGUAGGGCUAACAUGUAGUUGCAUAAUGGUGUCUUGAGUGCAGCAAAUGUGAAGUACACCAACAUUUCCAUUUAUUUCCAUUUAUUUAUUGAUGUAUUAGUUAUUUGUAUUAUAUAUUCUAUUCGUUGUCUCUUUGCCAUUUCUUCAUUUCUUCACUACCUGAUCCUAAUCCCAGUAUUCAAAUCCCCCUAUAUUCCUUCAUCAAUGCCUCAUUUGCAGCUUCAGCAGUUACUUCAUUCGGAAUAUGAGGUUUGUUUUGAUUAACUAUUCUUGUGUGAUUGACUUCAAUCAACUGUUAUCCGCCAUCGUUGAAACAUAACCAUACACUGUUGCUGUUUCUUUUUACUGAUACUUGUAGUUUCUCCAUUCCAGUUGAUCUAUAUACCAUUAAUACCGUCAUUAAUUAUUGUUGUCAAUUGAAUAGAGUUUAUUAUGCUUUUUCAUGAAGCGUCUUCUUUUGCCAAAUGUUGUUACCUACACCAUUCUCUAUAGGGGGUUAUCUCCCAUGACAAACUUCUGGAGGUUGAGCACUGGUUCGAGAAGCUCAGCAUAAUCAGACUAAUUGAACCUGGUAUUGUUCCAUUAUUGAUAGGUUGCAACAAACCUAUCAAUAUGGACCUCCACUCUUGCAAGUUCAAUAAAUUCUUCUCAACGUCUUAUUUUUGCAAGUACCAGAGUGCCCACCUCAGGAGCUUACAUGAUUUUCAUGGACCACCAUAUACUUGUGAUUUAGGCCUCAUUUGUUAACGAGUGAACGAGACAGAUAUAGCUGGACGAGAAAAAGGUUAGCUAUUCAGAUUGUUUGUUGCUGUCGUAAUUCAACUGAACGACUGGAAAAUUCGCUGGACGAAAGAGGCUACAUAACUUCGCUGGAUGGUUCAUAUAUCUUGCUUGUGUAAGUGUGUUGAUGAAUAUGUGUGCUAAUUUAACAUAUAAUUGCUUUAUAUAAUAACUUCUUAUAUUAUAAUAUAUUUAUGAUUAUAAAAUUAAUAAAAUAAAUAGUUAAUUUUAAUUAACAAUAUUUGAAUCUUAUAAAAUAGUGGCUUAUAUAUUAACACAUCGAUUAUUAUUUUAAAAGAAAUGCAUUUAUUAUUAUAUAGAGAUAAUUGAUAAGAAAUUUGUAUUGUAAAUUUUUUUCAUGUUAAUUUAAUGAAUUAUCCAUUAUAAAUCUUAUUUUCUAAUAAAAAUAAUUAUUAAAUAAAUUUAAUAUAUAAUUUUAAGUCAUUCAGAUUUAAUUUAACAAAUGAUUCAAAAAUACAAUCAUCCAGAUAUUUACUCAUUCAGAAUUUUCAUUCAUCCAGAAAAUAUGAUCCAGAUUUAACAAAUGACCCCUUAAUCGUCACAAGUGUAUCUUUGACCGAUACAUGGGUUGUGUUAGGCUGCUCAUUAGGAGGUUCAAAAAUCAUCCUUUUUUUUUCAAAUUUUAAAUAUGUUAUUUAUAAUAUAUAUGACGUUGUAUUUAUUAUAUACUAGAUUCACGUUUCAUAUGUAUUAGAUAAUAGAAUUUGUAAUAAAACUAAGAAUUUAUAGUGACUUACCACGAAACUCCAUAAAAAACUAUAAAUUAUAUAUAUAUUGAAUUAUUAUAUUUUACAAAUUCUAUGAAAUAUGAAUUAUGUUGAAUAUUAAACUAAGGGAGUUGAAGGUGUAUUCGUCGUGAUUUUAAUAGAUUAAUUUAUGAAUGUUAAUAGAUUGUAUGUGAUUUUGGGCGGAUUCUUAAUAAAAUGUCGUUUAACUGGUAUAGUUUUGUUAGGAUUUAAGCACAAUACUUUAAAAUAUUAUAUAUUUUGGUGGAAUUUCAAAAAGUUCAAAAUAUACCGACCAUAUAUCAUUUUAUGAAGUUCAAAAAAAUCUAUCAGUAUCCGAAUACCAUCACAUUUCAAUGGAUUUUAAAAAAUCCCAAUUGAAUACCGUUAGAUUUUAUAGCAUAAUUGAAAAUCCGAUUAAAUACCACCAUAUAUUGUAGAUAUAAAAUUCCAAUUGAAUACCACGAAUGAAAAAUCUUUAAAAAUCCCAAUUAAAUACACCUGUUAAAUAUAAUUUCGCUUAUUUAUAAACACUCUAAAAUCAUCAAUAUACUUAUAUAAAGGAGAAGCGAGGGGCGUGUAGGUGGCGCCUCUCACAUCGCUCCGUUCUAUUUUUCUAAAUUUCUGGAAUUUUUGGAUGAAAAAUAUCAAAAAUUAGAACUACCUUUUUUAGUUUCGGGUAUAUUAUAAGCAAGUUUCAGAAUCUGAUUUUGUUUCAGAUUAUUUAUGGAAUAUAGUAGUUUGAAAGUUUUAAUCUGAUUUUGUUUUAGAUUAUUUAAUUAUGGGAAAAAGUAGCACAUAAGUCUUUCUGCACCUAUAAAUACCCCGGUAGAUCGUAGGUUUUUGAAUCAUCUAAAUACAACCUCCUCUCUCUCAAUACCACAACCCUACCUCUCUAAUGAUAGUUCGCUUGCUUGAUUUCUAACUCGGUGGUGCUAUUCUUCUGCAACAAUAAGUGAAGGCUCUUUAUAUAGUAUUAAAAAAAUAAAGGUUGUUGCAAGCAAAGGUAGUUUUAGACCGCUAUGCGGGAGUCGACAAAUUCAAACAUGGGAAAAGAAUAUAGUCUUGACAUGAUAUUGAUGGAUGAUAUCAAUAAAUUAACUAUUAGUGAUGUAUGUUUAUUGGUUAUUCUUUUAUAAUAUUUGUUUUGUUCAUCGGACAUGUUUGUUGUUGUUAAUUUUUAUAUGAUUUAUUUUUUAUACAUGAAAAUAUGGUGGAGAAGCGAGGGGCGUGUAGGUGGCGCCUCUCACAUCGCUCCGUUCUAUUUUUAUAAUUUUUUGGAAUUUUUGGAUGAAAAAUAUCAAAAAUUAGAACUACCUUUUUUGGUUUCGGGUAUAUUGCAAGAAAAUUUCAGAAUCUGAUUUUGUUUCAGAUUAUUUAUGGAAUAUAGUAGCUUAAAAGUUUUAAUCUGAUUUUGUUUCAGAUUAUUUAAUUAUGAGAAAGAGUAGCACACAAGUAUCUCUGCACCUAUAAAUACCCAUAUAGAUUGUAGGGUUUUGGAUCAUCUAAACACAACCUACUCUCACUCAAUACUACAACCUCACAGAUUUAAGUUGAAUGUUUUUGUGCACAAUCAAUCCAAAAAAUAGUAGCUUAAAAGUUUUAAUCUGAUUUUGUUUCAGAUUAUUUAAUUAUGAGAAAGAGUAGCACACAAGUAUCUCUGCAUCUAUAAAUACCCAUAUAGAUUGUAGGGUUUUGGAUCAUCUAAACACAACCUACUCUCACUCAAUAUUACAACCUCACAGAUUUAAGUUAGAUGUUUUUGUGCACAAUCAAUCCAAAAAAAUUGGAGAAAGGUGACAAUUUAAAAACAUAAUUUCUUUUCAAAAAAAAAAACACAAAUAAAAUUAAGAUUCGUCGUGCUUUAAAUUGUUAAUUACGUGUAUAAAUUUAUUUUCAUUUUUUCACCAUGAAUUAUAGUCCAAUUUUGCAAUUUUAUAUAUUAGUAUUGGUAUUACAUCAAGAUUUUUAUAAUAUAAAAUAUAUUUAUCCUACAAAUAUUAAUUUUGAAACAUUAAUAUACUUUUUAUAGACAUCCACAAAAUUAUUUUAUUCUACAAAUAUUAAUAUUGAAUCAUUAAUAUAAUUUUUAUAAGCCGCCGCAACGCGCGGCUUCUCAACUAGUAAUAACUAAGAGCAAGUGCGAUAGGUUAACUAUUUCCUUGUAUAAUACUAUGAAAUAGUGAAUCUUAGAUUUAGAAGAUCAACUUUUAGUGUCAACUCCUAUAGAAAUUCUUAUUUUUGUUCCCUAUUAUUAUUUUAACAAUAAAUUUUAGGAAAAGAAGGAAGAAAUGAGAGAAAAGAUAAAAAAAAAAAGAAAUAAAUUGUUUAUUCAUAAAUAUUAAAUAUAUAAUGAUUAGAGAUUACCUAAAAUAGGUAAUAAUUAGAAAAUUUGGAAAUGCGCUAAUAAUUUAGAUAAUCAGCAUAUAAUGGUGGACACUGAUACAUUACCCAAAUAUAAAUAUAGAACCUCAUUUAGAUAUAUCAUUGUUCAUAUUAUUUUUAAUUAACUAAGCAAACAUCCCAUUUUUAAUGUUCCAUAUGUUUUUUAUAUGUCAUUUUUGACUUGAGCACGCACUUUUAGGUUAGUAGACUAGAUGUUAAUUAUUAUUAUUUUUAAUUAAUUUUUUUGUGAAAUAAAAUUUGAAUUACAUAAUUUUUCAUAGAAAAAACAUUCAAAAAUAAUAUUUUUAACUGUUCGGUCAAAACAAUUAAAAAAUACUAUGUAUCACAAGUUAAAACGUCUUAUAUCAAAAAUAGAGGGAGUAUAAUUGGAGGGGGAGAGCAUUAUUAAAGUCGAAUACAGAAAAAGGGAAAGUAAGUGAGAGAGUGAGGAGGAUGAUGAUGUCGAGAAUGAGAAGCGCUUUCACUGCUUGCUUCACUUCAGACGCUGUUUGUGACAAGGGCUUUCUUGGAUUUCUCAGACAUGGUACUCCUGCUCUUACUACUGCUAGUUCUUCUUGUCGUGUUAUUACACUUUCUCAAUCCUCCACUUGCCCUAACCCUAAUCACAUACCCAAUCAUCUUUCGGAAUUUGACCAAUUACUGUUGGAGAAAUCUAGAGUUGGUUUUGAUAAGCUCGAUGAUGCUCUUCGAGUGUUUGAUAAAAUGCUCCGUAUGAAGCCUCUUCCUAUUGUCAUGAAAUUUAAUCAACUCUUGGCCGCCCUUGUCAAGAUGAAACAUUACUCCGCGGCUGUCUCCGUCUUUUCAAAGAUGUGCACUUUUAACAUUGCUGUUGAUAUAGUUACUUAUAGUAUUGUAAUCAACUGUUGUUGCCAUUUGAAACGCGUUGAUUAUGGCUUUGCGCUGUUGGCUGCCAUCUUUAAGCGUGGUUUUGUCCCUACUAUCGUUACCUACACAACUCUUGUUAGGGGACUCAUAUCCCAGGAUAGGUUUCUUGAGGCUGAGCUUAUGUUCAAGAACCUUCUCAAGUACAAUGAGAUUCAGCCCAAUGCAGUUAUUUUUAACACCAUCAUUGACGGCCUCUGCAAAACUGGCAACACUUCCCAGGCUAUGAUGUUGCUUAGAUACAUGGAGAAGAAAGGUUGUAUGCCGAACGUUGUAAAUUAUAACACUAUUAUUGAUGGUUUGUCCAAAGACAGAUUAGUCGAUGAUGCUCUGGGUCUUCUUGCCGAAAUGAGAGACAAAGGCAUUCAACCAGAUGUUGUAACCUACAGCUCACUAAUUCUAGGUCUGUGCAACUUUAACCGAUGGGAUGAUAUAACACAAUUGUUAAAAGAUAUGGACAAACACAAAAUUUCUCCAGAUAAGCAUACUUAUAAUAUAUUGAUUGAUGCACAUGCCAGAGAUGGAAAGGUCAAAGAUGCUGAAUAUCUAAUAGAGUUAAUGAUUCGAAGAGGCCAACCUGCGGAUGUAGUCACAUAUAAUACGCUAAUGGAUGGAUACUGCUUGAGAGGAGAGUUGGAUAAAGCGUUAGCAGUGCUCAGAAUCAUGAGAAAUGAGGGGAUUUUCCCCGAUGCUCAUACCUAUACCAUAUUGAUCAAUGGUUAUUGUAAAAAGAUGAAAGUAGACACAGCCAUACAUCUCUUAGAAGAAAUGACCCUGAAAGGUUUAACACCUGCAAUCGAAACGUACAAUACUAUUCUAGAUGGGUUAUUUCGUGCGCGUAGGCUUGAUGAAGCACAUAAGUUUUAUAAGAAGAUGUUAAACCAAGGUGUUAAACGGAAUGUAGUGACAUGCAGGAUCUUGUUGCAUGGACUUUGCUGGAAUGGACUUGUUGUUGAAGCAAUGUCCGUGUUUCACAAGAUGGAGUCAUGUGGUUUAGUUCCUGACAUACAAAUUUAUUCUAUUCUGAUUCAUGGAUUGUUCAAGAAUGGCAAGGUUGACGAGGCAAGAAACCUUUUUCAAACUAUUCUUUUCAAGGGUUUACGGCCUAGUGUCAUAUCUUACAACAUUAUGAUCCAAGGAUUCUGUCAAGAGGGGUUGCUGGAAGAAGCAUAUAAUAUACUCUUGGAAAUGGAAGAAAACAAUUGCUUGCCUGAGGAAGUUACAUACAAUACUCUUAUCCGCGGCUGCUUUAAGAAUAAGAUGUAUGAUGGAGCUUGUGUGCUUAUAGAUGAAAUGUGUGCUCAUGGUUUCAAAGCAGAUGCCUCUACCACCUCCAUGCUAUUUGAUUUGCUGCAAUCGAAGGAGCAGGACCCUGCGCUCCAUGCUUUGCAAAAGAAGUUCAUGCCUUGAGUACAUCAAUGAGAGAGUUUAUUAAGGUACAAAAUACUUUUAAAUUGCCGGAACUUUGUAAUAGUUUGCUACAAUAUUUUAAAUCAAUAGCAAUUGUGAUAUUGGAGUUGAUAAAAUAUUUGAGUUUGUUAAAUAUUUACUUUUGAAGUGGUGGCCGUGUUGUCUUUGCAUCAUUUUGCAAAACGAGAAGUAUGAUAAAGCAUGCAUUUUUUCUUCGGCAAAAUACUAGAAGCUGGGUUCUUAGGGGAUGCAUACCACCUGUGUAUUACGAGACCUACUUGGAACAAAUUAGCUGGAUCCUUCUACUCUUUCUUUUCGUAAAAAGUUUGCCAUGACACUCUGCAGCAUUAUAUUUUACUUGCAUUACAUUGUAAGUUUGUCUUCUAUUUUUGCAGUCGACUACCAGUUAUUUCAAGUACUGUAUGGGUUACAUGUAGUUGCAUAAAGGUGUCUUCAGUGCAGCAAAUGUGAAGUACACCAACAUUUCCAUUUAUUUUGUUGAUAUAUUAGUUCUUAGUAUUAUAUAUUUUAUUCCUUGUCUCUUUGUAAUUUUAAUAUCUCUUCUAAAAUACAGGGAAAUGAUCCAAAAUACUAUCCUCUGUUUUUAAAUUUGUUUUCAUUUUCAAAUAAUUAAUUUUUUUUCAUUUUACUAUGUUCACAAAAUUUUAUAUAAAUUGCCUAAAUUUAAGUUUGUUUAUACGGAAAUACUCUAAGCAACUAAGUAUGAGCCUAUCUGUAACUAUUAUAUAAAACCAUUGCGGAGACGAUGAGAAAGGCUGUCACUACAUCCUCAGUGUCUUACUAUUAUUUACUUUCUCAUUUCUCACAACCUGAUCCUAGUCCCAGUAUUCAAAUCCCCAUAUAUUCCUUCUUCAUCUAUACCUCAUUUGUAGCUUCAGCAGUUACUUCAUAAGGAAUAUGAGGUUUGUUUUGAUAUUAACUAUUCUUUAUGAUUGACUUCAAUCAACUGUUAUCCGCCAUCGCUAAAACAUAACAAUACACUGUUGCUGUUUCUUUUUAGUGAUAUUUGUACAUUCUCCAUUCCAGUUGAUCUAUAUACCAUUAAUACCGUCAUUUAUUAUUGUUGUCAACUGAAUAGAGUUUAUAAUGCUUUUUCAUGAAGUGUCUUCUUUUGCCAAAUGUUAUCUACACCAUACUCUUAGAGCAACUCCAAUGGGGGUACCAUUAAUACACUGUUGCUGUUUCAUGAAGCGUCUUCUUUUGCCAAAUGUUGUUACCUACACCAUACUCUUAAGGGGUUAUCUCUCAUGACAAACCUCUGUAGGUUGAGCACUGGUUCGAGAAGCUCAGCAUAAUCAGACUAAUUGAACCUGGUGUUGUUCCAUUAUUGAUAGGUUGCAACAAACCUAUCAAUAUGGACCUUCCACUCUUGCAAGUUUAAUAAAUAUGUUCUCAACAUCAUAUUUUUGUUUUGGGCUGCUAACAAGCGCUUUUAAGUUCGCAAAGUACCAGAGUGCCCACCCUAGGAGCUUCCAUGAUUUUCAUGGACCAGCAUAUACUUGUGAUUUAAUUGUCACAAUUCUAUUAGUUCUGACCAUUAGAUCCAGGCGUGGCAAAACAGUUAACAGAAGCACCUUCAUAUCCAAAGCUAUUCACGACCCAUGCCAAAAGCCAUUCAUUCAGCAUCUUCCGCAUCUUUCAUUCCAUGAUUUCAAUCAUUAGCUGUUGUUCAUUUUAAUUCCUUUUGCUAAUCCCCAGGGGACCAUUCCAUUUAUCCGUUCUUCUCUCGGAGACCUCUUUUUUAGUUUUGUCUUUGUCAUUGAUUAGCGAUACGUCUACCUGAUCUCCCCAAAUGAACAUGUCAGUAGGAUGGUACAUGCCAAUGUUCGAGUAAAUGCUAUAUACAUACAUAGUUAUAUUCACGUCUCCUGAUUAGCAAAAACGUCCACUUCUUGGGUGAUUCAACUUGUAAAGGUUAGUUUUCUCCAAAAACUUUUUUUUUUUUUUUAUGUUUUUGUUGUGUUCUUUGGUUUGUGUUGCUGAUAAAGAUGAUAGGAUUGAUUGAUGAUCUUUUUGUGCUAAAGUCAAGAUUAUGGGAUGUUUUGUGUUCGUUUGAAGUUUUGGUAUCGAACUAUAUGAUCUCACAAUUGUUGUGAGUUUGACCACUUUAUCUUUAUUUAUAAAUUUAUUUUUAUUGUAUUUACAAGACCACUUUACUUUCAAAUGCAUAAAUAUUAAAGCUUGAUGGUGUUUUUUUUGGGUUUUAUGUGUGUGAACUCUGAUUGUAUUGGUUUCUUUAUUGCUUGAUGUUUUUGUAGAGUUUGGUGCGUGCAGGAGUUGUGAAGAAACUUUGAGGAGUUUUGGGCCAUUCUUGAUUUAGGUCAUUACUAAAUGUGGACCAUAAGGAGUGUUGUCUACAUGAUGGGCUUCUGUGGUCAAGGACUCAAGGUUCUGGGCAACACUUUAAUGGGGACUUUUCAAUGGCUGUAGUUCAAGCUAAUAAUUUACUGGAGGCUCAGAGUCAGCUUGAAUCAGGCUGUCUGAGCUUUAACGAGUCAGGCCUGUAUUGUACUAUUGUAGGAGUUUAUGAUGGACAUUGUGGCCCUGAGACAUUGCCUUUAUCAGUGUUCAACUCUUUCAGCUUCUAAAGAGUAACUAUCUUUUCUUCCAAUAGAGUUUUAAGUCAUUGUAUUGGAUUUGUUAGUUUCUUACAAGAACUAAGAUAUACUAAAUGGACGCAAACUGUAGAUUUUGUUGAAUACUGAUGCUUAUUAUUCGUUUGAACCUUCAUGAUGACCAAAUAAAUGUUGUGGCUUACUUGUUUCGUGCAUGUUUUUGUUUUAGGCGAAACCCUAUUACAUUUGACACGUACCUUAAAAAAAACAUAGGGUGGUUCCAUUCAUGUAUGGGAAACCAAAUAAAAUGAACUUGUAAACAAUUGAGGAAUCAUUGAUGUGUAUGCUUUUAGUCUCUCUUACUUUUCCAUGGGUUUGAGGUUAAGUAUCUAUCUGUGUUUUGCAGAAUUUGCAUCUGAGCAUCAAUCCAUGUCAGAGGAGUUAAUAAGAAAGGCAUUUCAUGCAACAGAAGAGAGUUAUACAUCUAUUAUUCGCAAGCAAUGGCCAAUACAAAUUACAACUUGCCGCAGUCGGGUCCUGUUGCUGGGUUGGAGUGAUAUGCAUGGAAAUCUCUAUAUUGCAAAUCUUGGUGACUCAUGUGCUGUGUUAGGCACACUUGUCAAGCCAAGAGGGGAAGUUCUUGCUAUUCAGCUUUCAGCGGAACAUAAUACGUGCAUCGAGUACGAAGACGAGAGUUGCAUUCUGUUCACCCAGAUGAUCGGCAGAUAGUUGUAAUCAUAUGUAGUUCCUGUCUUCAGGUCCCAGAUCUGUCUUUCAAAAGCCGAGAACAACUCAAAAAAUGUAAGACUCUGAACUUGUAAAUAUAUACUUUUCACUAGCCAUUUGGGCUGCCACAAUGAUGUCUAACACCUUGAAGGCCUCAGUUGUGGUGUUUACCGGAACCGGCUCCAUGGCUAUUCUUCUCAGCCACUAUCAUCCUUCUGGAACUAUUUUUGCCUUUGCAAAUGAGUAAGUUUCACAAUUACAUUCUUAAUUUGAGUAUUGCCCUUACCUUCCUUGAUUGCAGGUGCUGAUUGAAGGUACAUGGAGGUUCCAGUCGGGUCCUGUUGCUGGGUUGGAGUGAUAUGCAUGGAAAUCUCUAUAUUGCAAAUCUUGGUGACUCAUGUGCUGUGUUAGGCACACUUGUCAAGCCAAGAGGGGAAGUUCUUGCUAUUCAGCUUUCAGCGGAACAUAAUACGUGCAUCGAGUACGAAGACGAGAGUUGCAUUCUGUUCACCCAGAUGAUCGGCAGAUAGUUGUAAUCAUAUGUAGUUCCUGUCUUCAGGUCCCAGAUCUGUCUUUCAAAAGCCGAGAACAACUCAAAAAAUGUAAGACUCUGAACUUGUAAAUAUAUACUUUUCACUAGCCAUUUGGGCUGCCACAAUGAUGUCUAACACCUUGAAGGCCUCAGUUGUGGUGUUUACCGGAACCGGCUCCAUGGCUAUUCUUCUCAGCCACUAUCAUCCUUCUGGAACUAUUUUUGCCUUUGCAAAUGAGUAAGUUUCACAAUUACAUUCUUAAUUUGAGUAUUGCCCUUACCUUCCUUGAUUGCAGGUGCUGAUUGAAGGUACAUGGAGGUUCCAGUUAGUAUUUAAAGUUGAAAGAAACAGGCACCUGCCCUGUAAAUUUAUCCUGGGUUUCUUUUGACUGGUUUCAGAGGUUAUGGACAAACUGGCAAAGGAGGAUAUUUUAACUAAAUGCGGAACAAAUGCUUACAUUAUUAAUAAGCUGAAGGUUUUUUAUAUAUAACUUAUGUUUCUAUUUAUUUCCUUGUUAGUUUUCCUUUCGUGAUCCUCACUGUCAUGGAAACAACAGUUCCAGAAAUCUGACUAUGAAUUUGAAGCUGUCAAAGAGGAAAAUUAUGGCCAGAUAUUUCGAAAUGGCAGUAAAGUUCAGCCAAACAUGGAUGAGGAUCAUAUGUGCAUGAGAUAAAUGUAGACCAACUAUAUUUGACUUGUAUAUAUUUUCUUUUUUAGGGGCGAAGUGUUUCUCUUCUGCUAACUAAGUACGGGAUCCAGUAACUAAUUAGCUUCUAUUCUUGUUUAUGUAUGUAUCCUCUCUACUGAAAACUCUUACUUCCAAUUUUUUUAAAGCUCCUUUAAGUUCUGGUUAAUGAGUUUUUGCAAGUUUUCAAUUUUACCUACAUAUGUGAGUCAAGAUAGAAAAUAAGUCUGAGAAGAAUGCAUAAAUUAUUUUUAGUUGUAAUCUAAUUUAUAAUUGCAGAUCUCAUAUGUUUUUGUAUAAGCUUUCUUGUAAGACUAUAAAUUUGUUUUAUCAAAUAUUUGUGUGGGAGUUAAUUUAUAGUGAUAAACAUAAUGUGAUGUCACCUAUCCUUUACCUUAUAGAAUAGUAGCGGUGAUCGCGGUGCGGGCGGUGCAGUUUUUCGCUAAAACCGCGAACCAAACCGCAUUGAAAACUCAAACCGAACUGCACCACGCUACAAAAAAACCGUAUAAACCGCAUCACAAAAAUGCGGUGCGGUUUGUAUGAAGAAUAAAUAUUUUUAGUUGAAGUCAUAAAAAAAAUUGAAUAUAUGAUAAUUAAAACCUUUUCUUGUAAUGAAUUCAUAUAAUAUUUAUCAUUUCAGAGCUGCAACAACUACUAAAAUAACACAAACAAAAGUGUAAAUAUAAUAAUAAAUAUAAAUACUAACUACUAAGAGACAUAUUAUUGUAAUAUAUUCAUAUCAUACUAAUUUGGUAUAAUAGUAAUGCAAGAUUGAUAAAAUAAUAAUUAAUUAUUAUUUGAAGAGAUUUAACAAAUAUAUGGAACAUAAUUAUAAAUAAUAUAUAUGUAUAUAAUAUAAUUUUAUUUGAUAAUCAUUAAUAUAUAUAUAUAUAUAUAGGCUCAUGAUCAAAUAGAAACCACUCUUAAAAUAAAAACUAGAAACCAGUUUACCUACCACUAUUUAUAACUACGGGUAUCACUAAUUUAUACUGCACUAAUCACUGUUUUUAUACAGUAUGUAAACAUCGAUUUUUCUUAUCAAAAUUGAGAAAAUCUACUUAUCAAAAUUAUUGAUAAUCGAUUAUAGAUGAUUAAUUUCAUCCGUAUGAAGGUUCUUGGUGGUAGGUUGCCGCAAGAGAAGUUGUAUGAUGAUAGUAAGUAGUCGUUAGUUUUGUAUGUUAUGAUGGAAAGUGUAUGUGACUAUUGGUGAUGAUAGACAAUAGUGGCAAGUCAUAGAAACGUUUGGUAAUGGUGGUAAGAGGUCCAUUAUUACGAUUUGGGUGAAGAUGAUGGUCAUAUACGUUGCAUAUAUGUGUAUAUAUAUAUUUAUAUUCGCGUGAUAUGAUAUAUAUAAAUUAGUGAUAUGUUAUGUACAAAUUAGUGAAUUCUGUAGUUAAAAAUAGUGAUAAAAAACUGUCCAAAAACUGGUUUUUAGUUUUUAGGCUAUUUUGGUUUCUAUUGGAGUAGGACUCUAUAUAUAUAUAUAUAUAUAUGUAUGUAUGUAUGUAUGUAUGUAUGUAUGUAUGUAUGUAUGUAUGUAUGUAUGUAUNNNNNNNNNNNNNNNNNNNNNNNNNNNNNNNNNNNNNNNNNNNNNNNNNNNNNNNNNNNNNNNNNNNNNNNNNNNNNNNNNNNNNNNNNNNNNNNNNNNNNNNNNNNUAUAUAUAUUAUAAUAUUGCGGUGCGGUGCAGUUUGAACCACACUACUAAUAUGUCAAACCGCAACCCGCACCGCACCGCGUGGUUUGUGAAAAAUACAAACCGCAACCGCACCACGAAAAUUAAAAACCGCGUUUUGUGGUGCGGUGCGGGCGGUUUACGCGGUUUGGACGGUUUUUUGAUCACCCCUAUAGAAUAGUAUUGCUCAAUUAUUUUACAAUCACUUGUAGGUAUUUUUAUCACGCUCUUGCAAUGGACUACAUUACUGUUUCCAUGUUUCACAACAAGCUCGAAGUAGAGAAGUAGAAGUCAACCAUACCACUGUGCACAAACUAAUUGAUAAGAUGACAAAAGAAGGGUUUGACGAAGCUCAAAGCAAUAGAAGACUUGGUGUGAAAAUGGAGCAUUAAAAUUACAUUUGGUGCAUGAAUCAGAUUUGUUGAUCGAUAUUUACAUAUUCCUUUUAUUUUUGUAGGCAAGCCGGUGAUCAAUCCUUAUUUAACUGAGAAAAAAUUGCAUGAAGUCGAGAAAAACAAACUUGAACCUUAAUUAGAUGGUGGAAGUUCUGUAGGCACAUUACAACGCAAGUUUCUAUAAUUUUCUUGUGAACAGAUUUUUAAUAUGAAAAUUAUGUUGAUAGGAGCUAAAAGAGCUCUAAAGGAAGAUGAACCACUUAAAACCUCAGACAAUUGUUACAUAAUUGAUCAAAUUAUUUCUCCUCUAACUUGAACAGAAUGAUUCACUACUUUAACUCUUUAGUGAUAACCAGGAAGCAAAGAAAAUUGUCUACUUGUGGCGGAGCUCAAUUAGAUCAGAUCUAACUCGCAUGAUAGCCGAGCCUGAUGCUUAUCAAAACGGAUGUGUCAGGAGUGACCAUACUGUUGUAAGGAUGAAAGAGCAUGGAACCCUCACAAGCAGAGCUCAGGUUUGUCCGGUCAACAACUGCCUUAAAUUUACCAAGUCAGAGAUGUUUUGCUUUUUGAUUUUCUAUGUUCCGUGACCCAAAAACCUGUAAUCUGACCUUUUUUAAUCAAGCAACCAACAGCUUCUAGAGAGAGUUUUGCACAAGUAAUGAAAAUUGUGAAAAUUGCAGGGAGUUUGAUGCAAUCAUGUGUAGCAAGUCGUCAUCUCAGAGCAAGUGGUCACAAAAGCAGGCAAUGCAAGUGCUGUAAGCUUCAUGGUUGUGUUUUUAUAUUUAGUUAAUUGUCAUCGGCCAUUAAAGAGAUCCAAUGUCAUAAGAUUAAUACUCUAUAUACACACACAAAAAGUAUCAUUUUCUGAUUUCAAAGUUGUGCAUGUAUAUCCCCCUUCUGUUAAUUAUAUGUAUAUCCUCACGAUAAGAUUUUUUAGUGCAGAAUAAGAAUGUAACAAUAAAAUGACAUAUUGUUGUUGAGUAUUACAGUAAUGACCAACCAACCUAAUUUCUAGAACGAAAGUAGUCUUAAACGACUCUUUUGUAGAGGCUUAAGUUUUCAUUUUUUUGGUGACAGGUUAAGGAUCCUAUCCUUCAGUGCACUAAACGCCAGAAGACUCAAGUCGCCUAAAAAGAAUCGGACUAUAUGGCCAUAUAAUUUCUGGUGCUUAUUUCUACUUAUCCCUAUUUCAUGAGCCUAAUAGACUUUUCUACUUCAUAUAUCACUUGAAUCAGUUUUCUACCUUUUUUUGUUGAGCCUUUUUUUUUAGUAUACAUUCUCUCUCAUUUCAUUCAACACUUCUUCUAUCAAGCAUGUAUAUCGAGCAUGUAUGUGUCCAUUUAUAAAAAUAAGCGAUUCAUACCAGGUUCGUGCCUUGCAUGCAGGGCCAUUCCAUACCUUUUGAGGGCUCAGGGGCCAAAAAAGAAAAUGGGCCCUAUUUUUUUUUUGCUUCGCUAAAUUUGAUAAAAUAUAACCUUGUAACAAUGCAAACUCAAAUUUUAGUCAACUUCCGUAAGAAAAUAACUAUAAAAUGAUGAAGUUUAGCGAUAAAGUGUACCGGAUGUAAAAAAAAGAAGAUUAAACAAAUAUUUGAUGACAUUUAUCUGUUAGUGCAUGAUUGAUAGUACCAUUAGUUUAGGUACGGACGUAGUCACUUAGGAUAGAAUAGGCUUACAGGACUGAUAUAUACUAAUAACAAUACAUAAAUUAUAAAAAUUUUGGGCCCUUAAAUUUUUUGGGCCCUGGGCGGUCGCCCUGGUUGCCCUCCCUCUGGGCCGGGCCUGCUUGCAUGGGCACUAAUGCUAGUUAAAACUGAUAUAACAAUCCAGUAUCUAUACACACUUAGCAUCUUUUUGCUCCAAAGCUUUGGCCUUCUUUUUCUGUUCUGCAAACCUACCUUCAAGCAUUGAAACCUUUUCUUCUAGUAAUGAAAUAUUUUCUUCCAAAUAAAUCCUUUUGUUAUUCAGUUGGGUUACAAUAUAUGUGCCUUCCUUCAAUCUCAACAUCGAACCAUUCAAACUAAUCACUGGUAAUUUUUUUUCAUAAUUAAAGAAAAAAUUCAUCACUAAUUCAUUGCUUGCAAUUAAUAAAACCAAAAACUUACUUAUGAUUGACAACAUGUAUUAAAUCUUUGUCUAGUGUUUUUCAAAGACCAAGAACGGUAAAUCUUUGCUUUCUGUCAGCAAAUCACAAAUAUUAUUAUGUGCUGAAAGUUGAGAAGAUCUUACUGAGUUCAUUGACCUGGAGCAAACUUGAGGUGAUUUUGCUGAGUUCAUUGACAUGGAGUUUUCAAAUAUCAGCUUUUUCAGAAGAACAUUAAUAUUUUUAAAUUUUUUGGAUAUAAAUGUUAAAGAAAUUUUAUAUUCGUUAUGUGAUUAAGAACAAGGAUUUGUUCAAAAAGUCUUAUUUUUUUAAACAUUAAUAUUUUUAUAAUUUUUUAGAUAUAAAUGUUAAAGAAGUAUUUUAUAUUCGUUAUUUGAUUAAAAACAAAGACUUAUUUUAAUAAAAGUUGAGUUUUAUGUAUUUUUUCCCUAGAAAUAAACUCUUAUUUUUCUGGAAAAUAGAAUUAGCCAAAAAGCACGCUUAGUUUUGGAAGUUUCGUUGUCUUGCAAUAUGACUUAUAGUCGGUUUGUCCUAGCGGACUUAAAACUGUUUCUGGCCUAUUUAUAUAAUAAGUUAAUUAGUUAUUUUUAUUAAACUGUGUAAUUUUUAAAAAUAAAUAUAUAAUUUAAAUUUUAAAAGUGCUUAUCAAAAAAUUGUAGAAGACUGAUUUUUUUUUUCUUCUUGCACACAAACACCACCUAGAUUAAAGAAAAUGGUCUCACCUGGGGUCAAAGUCAUUUUAAAUGCGUUACCAACAAUACAAAUGCAAAAGACAAGCAGCAUUCUCUUUUUUUAAAGAAACAACGGAGGAGCAGAGUUUCUAAAAACAAGGGCAAGUGCAAGAUGAAGACGAUGAUGAGAACGAGGAGGGCUUUCACUACUGGCCUCACUUCAAACACUCUUCUUCCACUCCCAAGACCUAUACUAUAUUCUCUUUUGGAUGGCUUAUUUCGUACGCGUAGGCUUGAUGAAGCACAAAAGUUUUAUAGGAAGAUGUUAAACCAAGGUGUUAAACUGGAUAUAGUGACAUGCAGGAUCUUGUUGCACGGACUUUGCUGGAAUGGACUUGCUGUAGAAGCAAUGUCCGUGUUGCAUGAGAUGGAGUCAUGUGGCUUAAUUCCUGAUAUACGCAUUUAUAAUAUCUUGAUUCAUGGAUUGUUCAAGGACGGCAAGGUUGAUGAGGCCAGAAGCCUUUUUUAUAAUCUUCGUUUGAAGGGUUUACAGCCUAGUGUCAUAUCUUACAACACUAUGAUCCAAGGAUUCUGUCAAGAGGGGUUGCUGGAAGAAGCAUAUAGCAUACUUUUGGAAAUGGAAGAAAACAAUUGCUUGCCUAAUGAAGUUACAUACAACACUCUUAUCUGUGGAUGCUUUAAGAAUAAGAUGUAUGAUGGAGCUUGUGUACUUAUAGAUGAGAUGUGCAUUCAUGGUUUCAAAGCAGAUGCCUCUACCACCUCCAUGCUAUUGGAUGUGCUGCAACCGAAGGAGCAGAACCCCGCCCUCCUUGCUAUGCAGAAGAAGUUCAUGCCUUGAGUACAUCAAUGAUCGAGUUUAUUAAGGUACAAAAUACUUUUAAAUUGCCGGAACUUUGUAAUAGUUUGCUAAAGAAACUUAAAUCAAUAGCAACUGUGAUAUUGGAGUUGAUAAAAUAUUUAAUUUCAUGAAAUAUUUACUUGGGAAAUGGUGGCCGUGUUGUAUUUGCAUCAUUUUACAAAAUGAGAAGUAUGAUAAAGCAUGCAUUUUUUCUUCGACAAAAUGCUAGAAGCUGGGUUCUCAGCGGAUGCAUACCACCAUUAUAGUUGCAUAAAGGUGUCUUGAGUGCAGCAAAUGUGAAGUACAUCAACAUUUCCAUUUAUUUUGUUGAUAUAUUAGUUCUUAGUAUUAUAUAUUCUGUUCUCUAUCUCUUUAUAAUUCUAAUAUCUCUUCUAAAAUACAGGGAAAUAAUCCAAAAUACUAUCCUCUGUUUCUAAAUUUGUUUUCUGUUUCAAAUAAUAAACUUGUUUUCAUUUUUACUAUGUUCACAAAUUUUUAUAUAAAUUGCCUAAAUUCAUUCGGUAAUACUCUAUGCAACUAAUAAGUAUAAACCCAUCUGUAACUAUUGUUUUAAAAUAUAACACCAUUCUGGAGAUGAUGAGAAAGGCUGUCACUAUAUCCUCUGUCUUACUCUUUACACCAUUUCUAAUUUAUUACUCACUUUCUCAUUUCUUCACUACCUGAUCCUAGUCCCAGUAUUAAAUCCCCCUAUAUUCCUUCUUCAUCUAUACCUCAUUUGCAGCUUCAGCCGUUACUUCAUUAAGAAUAUGAGGUUCGUUUUGGUUAACUAUUCUUGUGUGAUUGACUUCAAUCAACUGUUAUCCGCCAUCGUUAAAACAUAAUCGGAAAGUCUCUAUAUGAAGUUACAAUACUACACUCUUAUCCGUGGCUGCUUUAAGAAUAAGAUGUAUGAUGGAGGUUGUGUGCUGAUAGAUGAUAUUUGUGCUUAUGGUUUUAAAGCAGAUGCCACUACCACCUCCAUGCUAUUCGAUUUGCUGCAUUCAAAAGAGCAGGACCCCGCACUCCUUGCUUUGCAGAGAAGUUCAUGCCUUGAGUACAUCAAGGAGAGAGUGUAUUAUGGUACAAAAUACUUUUAAAAUGCCAGGACUUACUAAUAAUUUGUUACAAACUUUGACGUCAAUAGCAAUUGUGAUAUAGGAGUUGAUAAUAUGUAAUUUUGUUGAAUAUCAGCUUUGCAAAUGGUGUCUGGGUUGUAUUUGCAUUAUUUGACAAAAUGAAAAGAAUGAUAAAGCUUGUGUUUUUUCUUCGACCAAAUGCAGGAAGCUGGGUUCUCUGGAGAUGCAUACCACCAGUAUAUUACAUUACAAGACCUGUACGGAACAAAUUACCUGGACCCUUCUACUCUUGCUUUGCGGUGAAAAUUUUGUCAUGGGUACUGCAAUCUCAUGACGCAAACACUCUGCAGCAUUAUUAUUUACUUGCAUUACAUUGUAAGUUUGUCUUUUAUUUCUGGCAGGCUGCUAAGACUUAACUUAAUUACUGUAGGGCUAACAUGUAGUUGCAUAAUGGUGUCUUGAGUGCAGCAAAUGUGAAGUACACCAACAUUUCCAUUCAUUUAUUGAUGUAUUAGUUAUUUGUAUUAUAUAUUCUAUUCGUUGUCUCUUUGCCAUUUCUUCAUUUCUUCACUACCUGAUCCUAAUCCCAGUAUUCAAAGCCCCCUAUAUUCCUUCAUCUAUACCUCAUUUGCAGCUUCAGCAGUUACUUCAUUAGGAAUAUGAGGUUUGUUUUGAUUAACUAUUCUGUAAUUGACUUCAAUCAACUGUUAUCCGCCAUCUUUAAAACAUAACCAUACACUGUUGCUGUUUCUUUUUACUGAUACUUGUAGUUUCUCCAUUCCAGUUGAUCUAUAUACCAUUAAUACCGUCAUUAAUCAUUGUUGUCAAUUGAAUAGAGUUUAUUAUGCUUUUUCAUGAAGCGUCUUCUUUUGCCAAAUGUUGUUACCUACACCAUUCUCUAUAGGGGGUUAUCUCCCAUGACAAACUUCUGGAGGUUGAGCACUGGUUCGAGAAGCUCAGCAUAAUCAGACUAAUUGAACCUGGUAUUGUUCCAUUAUAGAUAGGUUGCAACAACUCUUGCAAGUUUAAUAAAUUCUUCUCAACGUCUUAUUUUUGUUUCGGGACCUUCCACUCUUGCAUUAUUGAUAGGUUGUAACAAGCUUUGUAAGUUGGCAAGUACCAGAGUGCCACCUCAGGAGCUUACAUGAUUUUCAUGGACCAGCAUAUACUUGUGAUUUAAUCGUCACAAUUGUAUCUUUGACUGAUACAUGGGUUGUGUUAGGCUGCUCCUUAGGAGCUUCAAAAAUCAUCCUUUUUUUUUUCCAAAUUUUAAAUAUGUUAUUUAUAAUACAAGAUAUAUGACCUUGUAUUUAUUAUAUACUAGAAUCACCUUUCACAUGUAUCAGAUAAUAGAAUUUGUAAUAAAACUAAAAAUUUAUAGUGACUUACCACGAAACUCCAUAAAAAACUAUAAAUUAUAUUUAUAUUGAAUUAUUAUAUUUUACUAAUUCUAUGAAAUAUGAAUUAUGUUGAAUAUUAAACUAAGGGAGUUGAAGGUGUAUUCGUCGUGAUUUUAAUAGAUUAAUUUAUGAAUGUUAAUAGAUUGUAUGUGAUUUUGGGCGGAUUCUUAAUAAAAUGUCGUUUAACUAGUAUAGUUUUGUUAGGAUUUAAGCACAAUACUUCAAAAUAUUAUAUAUUUUGGUGGAAUUUCAAAAAGUUCAAAAUAUACCGACCAAUACCACAAAUCCAUCAUUUUAUGAAGUUCAAAAAAAUCUAUCAUAUCUGAAUACCAUCACAUUUCAAUGGAUUUUAAAAAAUCCCAAUUGAAUAGCGUUAGAUUUUAUAGCAUAAUUGAAAAUCCGAUUAAAUAUCACCAUAUAUUGUAGUAUGAUAUAAAAUUCCAAUUGAAUACCACGAAUAAAAAUCUUUAAAAAUCCCAAUUAAAUACACCUGCUAAAUAUAAUUUCGCUUAUUUAUAAACACCCUAAAAUAAUAACUAAGAGCAAGUCUGAUAGGUUAACUAUUUCCUUGUAUAAUACUAUAGAAUAGUGAAUCUUAGAUUUAGAAGAUCUACUUUUAUUUAGAAUAUUUAGAAAUUCUUAUUUUUGUUCCCUAUUAUUAUUUUAACAAUAAAUUUUAGGAAAAGAAGGAAGAAAUGAGAGAAAAGAUAAAAAAAAGAAAUACAUUGUUUAUUCAUAAAUAUUAAAUAUAUAAUGAUUAGAGAUUACCUAAAAUAGUUAAUAAUUAGAAAAUUUGGGAAUGCGCUAAUAAUUUAGAUAAUCAGCAUAUAAUAGUGUUCCAUAUGUUUUUUAUAUGUCAUUUUUGACUUGAGCACACACUUUUAGGUUGGUAAACUGGACAUUAAUUAUUAUUAUUUUUAAUUAAUUUUUUUGUGAAAUAAAAUUUGGAUUACAUAAUUUUUCAUAAAAAAGCAUUCAAAAAUAAUAUUUUUAACUCUUUAGUCAAAACAAUUAAAAAAUAUGUAUCACAAGUUAAAACGUCAUAUAUUAAAAAUAGAGGGAGUAUAAUUGGAGGGGGAGAGCAUUAUUAAAGUCGAAUACAGAAAUGAGAAAGUAAACUUGCGAAAAGGGAAAGUAACUGAGAGAGUGAGGAGGAGGAUGAUGUCGAGAAUGAGGAGGGCUUUCACUGCUUGCUUCAGCUCAAACGCUAUUUGUGACAAGGGCUUUCUUGGUUUCCUGAGACACGGUACUCCUGCUCUUACUACUACUAGUUCUUCUUGUCGUGUUAUUACAUUGCUUCGUUUGCAUUCACUCUCUCAAUCCCCCACUUGCCGUAACCCUAAUCACACACCCAAUCAUCUCUCCGAACUUCAACAAUUAUUGUUGGAGAAAUCUAGAGUUGGUUUUGAUGAGCCUGAUGAUGCUCUUCGAGUGUUUGAUAAAAUGCUCCGUAUGAAACCUCUGCCUAGUGUUAUGGACUUUACUCAACUCUUGACCGCCCUUGUCAAGAUGAAACAUUACUCCGUGGCCGUCUCUGUCUUUUCAAAGAUGUGCUAUUUUAGCAUUCCUGUUAAUAUAGUUACUUAUAGUAUUGUAAUCAACUGUUGUUCCCAUUUGAAACGCGUUGAUUAUGGGUUUGCGCUGUUGGCUGCCAUCUUUAAGCGUGGUUUUGUCCCAGAUGUUGUUACCUACACAACUCUAGUUAGGGGGCUCGUUUCCCAGGACAAGUUUCUCGAGGCUGAGCUUAUGUUCAAGAACCUUCUCGAGCACAAUCAAAUUGAGCCUGAUGCAGUUAUCUUUAACACCAUUAUCAAUGGCCUUUGCAAAACAGGCAACACUUCCCAGGCUAUGAGGUUGCUCAGAUACAUGGAGAAGACACGUUGUAUGCCCUGCGUAGUAACUUAUAGCACUGUUAUUAAUAGUUUGUCCAAAGACAGAUUAGUCGAUGAUGCUUUGGGUCUUCUUGCCGAAAUGAGUGACAAAGGCAUUCAACCAGAUGUUGUAACCUAUAGCUCGUUAAUUCAAGGUCUGUGCAACCUUAACCGAUGGGAUGAUAUAACACAAUUGUUAAAAGAUAUGGACAGACACAAAAUUUCUUCAAACAAGCAUACCUACAGUAUAUUGGUUGAUGCACAUGCGAAAGAUGGAAAGGUCAGAGAUGCUGAGUAUCUGAUAGAGUUAAUGAUUCGAAGAGGCCAAAAUCCUAAUGUAGUCACCUACAGUGCACUUAUGGAUGGAUACUGCUUGAGAGGAGAAUUGGAUAAAGCGUUUGCACUGCUCAGAACCAUGAGAAAUGAGGGGAUUUUGCCCAACGCGAAGACCUAUACCAUAUUGAUCAAUGGUUAUUGUAAGAAGAUGAAAGUAGACACAGCAAUACAUCUCUUAAAAGAAAUGACCCUGAAAGGUUUAACACCUACAAUUGAAACGUACAAUACUAUUCUGGAUGGGUUAUUUCGUGCGCGUAGGCUUGAUGAAGCACAAAAGUUUUAUAGGAAGAUGUUAAACCAAGGUGUUAAACUGGAUAUAGUGACAUGCA
Molecule: long non-coding RNA, 28085 nt
Filed under: Daucus carota (carrot)
Lineage: Eukaryota; Viridiplantae; Streptophyta; Magnoliopsida; Apiales; Apiaceae
Description: long non-coding RNA (DCAR_LNC006016)
Source: RNAcentral